Molecule: non-coding RNA, 850 nt
Organism: Leptonychotes weddellii (Weddell seal)
Lineage: Eukaryota; Metazoa; Chordata; Mammalia; Carnivora; Phocidae
Source: RefSeq, a predicted model, not a curated record
AGAAGAAAUGGGAAGCUCACAGAAGGGCAAUUUGUUGCACAUACAAAACGAACUCUUUUCACAACGAUUUCCUUCUCUGUGAAUUCCAGCGCCUUACCCAAACUCAAAGAUCAAAAGAGAGACUAUUCCAAAGUCCUGCUUGAGCAAGAAAUUGGCCUCUGGGAAUCGGUGUGAUCCUGGAAAGCCCCUCCUUGGUUUGCUGGAAGAAAACCUGGUCCUUGGAGGGCGCGGACACCAUUUGCGGAUGGCGCCCCGGAGGCGGAAGGUCCCGCACCCUUUCCCCAUUCCCAGCAGUGGACGUGGGCGCUCCCGGCCGAGGGGCCUUGGCCUUUUCCUUAGCGAAUGGGUGAACUUCAGCUGAGAAGGCCCCCUCCUUUUCUUGUUUUUCCUUUUGGACUUCCUUGGACGUGGGCAAGAAUGAAGGGAUAAGAAAUGACUAAGGAAAAGACAGAAAAGGUCCCGCUAAGCCGGACUCUGUUGGAAAUCUCGUCUGGGUGGGUGAUAGUGAAAGCCCUCUGCAGACACUGCGGUGACUAAGAGGCCGAGGGGCGGAGAAUGGAACCCCGAGAGCUGGCGCAGGAAAACGGACGGCGGCCGGACGAGAACAAAUAAGCGGCCCAAGUCACAGCCGGAGAAUGGAACAGGGGUUGUCAGCGGCGGUGAAGGGGCCAAAAUGCUCGCGGGAAGGAAGGACUGAGCUUGAACAUCUUUGCUUACAUGAAGUCAUGUCUUCUUCCUCUGCUACAAACUGUUGAGCCUUUACACCCCACAGCCAGAGAGGAAGGAGGCAUGGGCUGCCCAGGCUGGAGACCAGCUUUCCAGGCUCUGUACACAACCCAUUCAGCUCUGA